ACGAACGCUGGCGGCGUGCUUAACACAUGCAAGUCGAACGGAAAGGCCCUGCUUUUGUGGGGUGCUCGAGUGGCGAACGGGUGAGUAACACGUGAGUAACCUGCCCUUGACUUUGGGAUAACUUCAGGAAACUGGGGCUAAUACCGGAUAGGAGCUCCUGCUGCAUGGUGGGGGUUGGAAAGUUUCGGCGGUUGGGGAUGGACUCGCGGCUUAUCAGCUUGUUGGUGGGGUAGUGGCUUACCAAGGCUUUGACGGGUAGCCGGCCUAAGAGGGUGACCGGCCACAUUGGGACUGAGAUACGGCCCAGACUCCUACGGGAGGCAGCAGUGGGGAAUAUUGCACAAUGGGCGGAAGCCUGAUGCAGCAACGCCGCGUGCGGGAUGACGGCCUUCGGGUUGUAAACCGCUUUCGCCUGUGACGAAGCGUGAGUGACGGUAAUGGGUAAAGAAGCACCGGCUAACUACGUG
Molecule: ribosomal RNA, 467 nt
Filed under: uncultured bacterium
Lineage: Bacteria
Description: partial 16S ribosomal RNA
Rfam family: Bacterial small subunit ribosomal RNA
Source: RNAcentral